Molecule: non-coding RNA, 647 nt
Organism: Sus scrofa (pig)
Lineage: Eukaryota; Metazoa; Chordata; Mammalia; Artiodactyla; Suidae
Source: RefSeq, a predicted model, not a curated record
CCAGUGAUCGAGGCCAGGGAUUGAACCUGCAACCUCAUGGUUCCUAGUCCCAUUCAUUUCCGCUGCGCCACGACAGGAACACUGAGUUUUCCUUUUCUUUCAGAUGGUCCAUUGGGUUGGGUAUUGUCUGUGGCAACAGAGAGCAGGCCGAGUAGACACGGAGAGGGGGCUUCGAGGCAGAGCGCAGCAAUACUUGCUCGUGGAUUUACAGGUGAAUUCUGGAGCCCUGGCUGCCACUUGGACCAUGAGGGCAACCCUGAGAUGAUUGUGGUGGUAGGAAAGAGCCUGGAUCCUUCGGACUCCUUCAAGCAAAUCCUGAAUGGCCUUUCUCCAGCACUUCCAGCACUUGAUCUGCAGGAGUCUAGGAAAAACAUCUUGUUCUGGGUAGAAAUACGAUUUGCCUGCGUGUUUCCUGGAGCAGAUUCGGGACCCCCUGUCGUGCUUUGUCACAGGAUGAAUCAGCUCCAUCUCAUUGCUGGAUGUCUGACUGGUGAAGAGUUUGGACCCCAACAAGUCAGAAGAGAUUCAAAACCGCUUGGUGUUACGUGGCUUUUAGCGCAGCGACAGGCUGAUGGUGCUUCGGAGAUGCGGCUCCCACGCCUGUCUGGCUCUGGACACUGAAUACAAGUGGGGCAGUGGCUUCCUCA